RNAcentral lists this ribosomal RNA (550 nucleotides) under uncultured bacterium. RNAcentral's name for it is "partial 16S ribosomal RNA". It matches the Rfam family "Bacterial small subunit ribosomal RNA", at positions 355 to 895 of the family's 1533-position model. The record is from RNAcentral.
UGGGGAAUAUUGGACAAUGGGCGCAAGCCUGAUCCAGCAAUGCCGCGUGUGUGAAGAAGGCCUUCGGGUUGUAAAGCACUUUUAUCAGGAGCGAAACGCUGUCGGCUAAUACCCGGCGGAACUGACGGUACCUGAGGAAUAAGCACCGGCUAACUUCGUGCCAGCAGCCGCGGUAAUACGAAGGGUGCAAGCGUUAAUCGGAAUUACUGGGCGUAAAGCGUGCGUAGGCGGUUUCUUAAGUCUGCUGUGAAAUCCCCGGGCUCAACCUGGGAAUGGCAGUGGAUACUGGGAGGCUAGAGUGUGUCAGAGGGUGGUGGAAUUCCCGGUGUAGCGGUGAAAUGCGUAGAGAUCGGGAGGAACAUCAGUGGCGAAGGCGGCCACCUGGGACAACACUGACGCUGAGGCACGAAAGCGUGGGGGGCAAACAGGAUUAGGAUACCCUGGUAGUCCACGCCCUAAACGAUGCGAACUGGAUGUUGGUCUCAACUCGGAGAUCAGUGUCGAAGCUAACGCGUUAAGUUCGCCGCCUGGGGAGUACGGUCGCAAGACU